This is a non-coding RNA of Pelobates cultripes (western spadefoot toad), 320 nucleotides long. The record is from the annotation of a GenBank genome assembly. Lineage: Eukaryota; Metazoa; Chordata; Amphibia; Anura; Pelobatidae.
GUAGUAUUCCAGUACGUCACAUGUUGUAUGUGCUUUAAAUUGUAUGUAUUCUGUAAAUUGUUGUAUGGGGUUGCUGAGAUUUUAUUGCUUGUGACCCAAACUGUGAAGAAGUGGGUUUGAAAUUUUGCUCAUGAAAUAUAGGAUCAGAAAACCAUGGACAAAGGUUUUAACCUGUGUUGAUAUGACUUUUGGAAACUCAAACUGACCGGUCAAAAUUUUGCCAUGCCUUUAACAUGGAGUAGUAUAAAUAUUUUGAGUCUUUGAGAGUUCUGACAAAUGCAGGUGAUACCAUGUCUGUGUAAUCUGGUCCAAAUGUUCUA